Molecule: ribosomal RNA, 486 nt
Filed under: uncultured bacterium
Lineage: Bacteria
Description: bacterial SSU rRNA
Rfam family: Bacterial small subunit ribosomal RNA
Source: RNAcentral
UGACGCAGUGUGAAAAACUGAGGUGGUAUAAGAUGGGCCCGCGUCUGAUUAGCUGGUUGGGAGGGUAACGGCCUACCAAGGCGACGAUCAGUAGCCGGCCUGAGAGGGCGGACGGCCACAUUGGGACUGAGACACGGCCCAGACUCCUACGGGAGGCAGCAGUGGGGAAUAUUGCACAAUGGGGGGAACCCUGAUGCAGCGACGCCGCGUGAGUGAAGAAGUAUUUCGGUACGUAAAGCUCUAUCAGCAGGGAAGAAAAAAGGACGAUACAUGAGUAAGAAGCCCCGGCUAACUACGUGCCAGCAGCCGCGGUAAUACGUAGGGGGCAAGCGUUAUCCGGAAUUACUGGGUGUAAAGGGAGCGUAGACGGCAAUGCAAGUCCGGAGUGGAAUGCGGCAGCUCAACUGCCGAACUGCUCUGGAAACUGUAUGGCUUGAGUGCAGGAGGGGUAAGCGGAAUUCCUGGUGUAGCGGUGAAAUGCGUAGA